Molecule: ribosomal RNA, 253 nt
Filed under: uncultured bacterium
Lineage: Bacteria
Description: partial 16S ribosomal RNA
Rfam family: Bacterial small subunit ribosomal RNA
Source: RNAcentral
GACAGAGGAUGCAAGCGUUAUCCGGAAUGAUUGGGCGUAAAGCGUCUGUAGGUGGCUUUUUAAGUCCGCCGUCAAAUCCCAGGGCUCAACCCUGGACAGGCGGUGGAAACUACCAAGCUGGAGUACGGUAGGGGCAGAGGGAAUUUCCGGUGGAGCGGUGAAAUGCGCAGAUAUCAGGAGGAACACCAACAGCGAAGGCAGAUCUCUGGGACGUUACUGACGCUGAGACGCGAAAGCGUGGGGAGCAAACAGG